UUUCGGAGCCUGAUCUUCGCUCCGGGUUCAUUGAACAAGGAGAGGAAAGUCCGGACACCACAGGGCAGGAUUCCCCGCGAAAGGGGGGAAGCGGCGCGUCAAGGCGCCGCGAUGGACAGUGUCACAGAGAAUAUACCGCCGCGCGGGCAACCGCGUGGUAAGGGUGAAAAGGUGGGGUAAGAGCCCACCGCGCCGAAGGCAACGACGGCGGCACGAAAAACCCAAUCCGGUGCAAGACUAAAUAGGCGGCUGGACGGCCCGUCCGAUAGCCGCGGGUUAGUCGCAUCCGGCCGGGUCCCGCGCAAGCGGCCCACGGCCGGGCAGGUCCGCCUCGGCGGAUGUUGAGAGAAAUGAAGAUCGUGGCGCGCAAGCGUCGCACAUAAUCCGGCUUACCGGCUACGAGACUAG
Lacunisphaera limnophila is the source of this 408-nucleotide non-coding RNA. It matches the Rfam family "Bacterial RNase P class A". Rfam says of the family: Ribonuclease P (RNase P) is a ubiquitous endoribonuclease, found in archaea, bacteria and eukarya as well as chloroplasts and mitochondria. Its best characterised activity is the generation of mature 5'-ends of tRNAs by cleaving the 5'-leader elements of precursor-tRNAs. Cellular RNase Ps are ribonucleoproteins. Lineage: Bacteria; Pseudomonadati; Verrucomicrobiota; Opitutia; Opitutales; Opitutaceae. The record is from Rfam.